Molecule: ribosomal RNA, 1528 nt
Filed under: Klebsiella pneumoniae
Lineage: Bacteria; Pseudomonadati; Pseudomonadota; Gammaproteobacteria; Enterobacterales; Enterobacteriaceae
Description: bacterial SSU rRNA
Rfam family: Bacterial small subunit ribosomal RNA
Source: RNAcentral
AGAGUUUGAUCAUGGCUCAGAUUGAACGCUGGCGGCAGGCCUAACACAUGCAAGUCGAGCGGUAGCACAGAGAGCUUGCUCUCGGGUGACGAGCGGCGGACGGGUGAGUAAUGUCUGGGAAACUGCCUGAUGGAGGGGGAUAACUACUGGAAACGGUAGCUAAUACCGCAUAAUGUCGCAAGACCAAAGUGGGGGACCUUCGGGCCUCAUGCCAUCAGAUGUGCCCAGAUGGGAUUAGCUAGUAGGUGGGGUAACGGCUCACCUAGGCGACGAUCCCUAGCUGGUCUGAGAGGAUGACCAGCCACACUGGAACUGAGACACGGUCCAGACUCCUACGGGAGGCAGCAGUGGGGAAUAUUGCACAAUGGGCGCAAGCCUGAUGCAGCCAUGCCGCGUGUGUGAAGAAGGCCUUCGGGUUGUAAAGCACUUUCAGCGGGGAGGAAGGCGAUAAGGUUAAUAACCUUGUCGAUUGACGUUACCCGCAGAAGAAGCACCGGCUAACUCCGUGCCAGCAGCCGCGGUAAUACGGAGGGUGCAAGCGUUAAUCGGAAUUACUGGGCGUAAAGCGCACGCAGGCGGUCUGUCAAGUCGGAUGUGAAAUCCCCGGGCUUAACCUGGGAACUGCAUUCGAAACUGGCAGGCUAGAGUCUUGUAGAGGGGGGUAGAAUUCCAGGUGUAGCGGUGAAAUGCGUAGAGAUCUGGAGGAAUACCGGUGGCGAAGGCGGCCCCCUGGACAAAGACUGACGCUCAGGUGCGAAAGCGUGGGGAGCAAACAGGAUUAGAUACCCUGGUAGUCCACGCCGUAAACGAUGUCGAUUUGGAGGUUGUGCCCUUGAGGCGUGGCUUCCGGAGCUAACGCGUUAAAUCGACCGCCUGGGGAGUACGGCCGCAAGGUUAAAACUCAAAUGAAUUGACGGGGGCCCGCACAAGCGGUGGAGCAUGUGGUUUAAUUCGAUGCAACGCGAAGAACCUUACCUGGUCUUGACAUCCACAGAACUUUCCAGAGAUGGAUUGGUGCCUUCGGGAACUGUGAGACAGGUGCUGCAUGGCUGUCGUCAGCUCGUGUUGUGAAAUGUUGGGUUAAGUCCCGCAACGAGCGCAACCCUUAUCCUUUGUUGCCAGCGGUCCGGCCGGGAACUCAAAGGAGACUGCCAGUGAUAAACUGGAGGAAGGUGGGGAUGACGUCAAGUCAUCAUGGCCCUUACGACCAGGGCUACACACGUGCUACAAUGGCAUAUACAAAGAGAAGCGACCUCGCGAGAGCAAGCGGACCUCAUAAAGUAUGUCGUAGUCCGGAUUGGAGUCUGCAACUCGACUCCAUGAAGUCGGAAUCGCUAGUAAUCGUAGAUCAGAAUGCUACGGUGAAUACGUUCCCGGGCCUUGUACACACCGCCCGUCACACCAUGGGAGUGGGUUGCAAAAGAAGUAGGUAGCUUAACCUUCGGGAGGGCGCUUACCACUUUGUGAUUCAUGACUGGGGUGAAGUCGUAACAAGGUAACCGUAGGGGAACCUGCGGUUGGAUCACCU